RNAcentral lists this ribosomal RNA (916 nucleotides) under uncultured bacterium. RNAcentral's name for it is "bacterial SSU rRNA". It matches the Rfam family "Bacterial small subunit ribosomal RNA", at positions 246 to 1155 of the family's 1533-position model. The record is from RNAcentral.
UUGUUGGUAAGGUAAAAGCUUACCAAGGCUUCGAUCAGUAGCUGGUCUGAGAGGACGACCAGCCACACUGGGACUGAGACACGGCCCAGACUCCUACGGGAGGCAGCAGUGGGGAAUUUUGGACAAUGGGGGCAACCCUGAUCCAGCCAUGCCGCGUGAGUGAAGAAGGCCUUCGGGUUGUAAAGCUCUUUCAGCCGGAACGAAACGGUUACGGUUAACACCCGUGACUACUGACGGUACCGGAAGAAGAAGCACCGGCUAACUACGUGCCAGCAGCCGCGGUAAUACGUAGGGUGCGAGCGUUAAUCGGAAUUACUGGGCGUAAAGCGUGCGCAGGUGGUUUUGUAAGUCAGAUGUGAAAGCCCCGGGCUCAACCUGGGAACUGCGUCUGAAACUACAAGACUAGAGUGUGGCAGAGGGGGGUGGAAUUCCGCGUGUAGCAGUGAAAUGCGUAGAGAUGUGGAGGAACACCGAUGGCGAAGGCAGCCCCCUGGGUCAACACUGACGCUCAGGCACGAAAGCAUGGGGAGCAAACAGGAUUAGAUACCCUGGUAGUCCAUGCCCUAAACGAUGUCAACUAGUUGUCGGGCCUUUACGGGCUUGGUAACGUAGCUAACGCGUGAAGUUGACCGCCUGGGGAGUACGAUCGCAAGAUUAAAACUCAAAUGAAUUGACGGGGACCCGCACAAGCGGUGGAUUAUGUGGAUUAAUUCGAUGCAACGCGAAAAACCUUACCUACCCUUGACAUGUAUCGAAGCCCGCAGAAAAGCGGGGGUGCCCGAAAGGGAACGAUAACACAGGUGCUGCAUGGCUGUCGUCAGCUCGUGUCGUGAGAUGUUGGGUUAAGUCCCGCAACGAGCGCAACCCUUGUCAUUAAUUGCCAUCAUUUAGUUGGGCACUUUAAUGAGACUGCCGG